RNAcentral lists this ribosomal RNA (1319 nucleotides) under uncultured bacterium. Its description in RNAcentral is "bacterial SSU rRNA". It matches the Rfam family "Bacterial small subunit ribosomal RNA", at positions 43 to 1395 of the family's 1533-position model. The record is from RNAcentral.
CAGGCCUAACACAUGCAAGUCGAACGAGAAAGGGGAGCAAUCCCUGAGUAAAGUGGCGCACGGGUGAGUAACACGUGACUAACCUACCCUCGAGCGGGGAAUAACCAAGGGAAACCUUGGCUAAUACCGCAUAAUACCUACGGGUCAAAGGAGUAAUCCACUUGAGGAGGGGGUCGCGGCCGAUUAGCUAGUUGGCGGGGUAAUGGCCCACCAAGGCAGUGAUCGGUAUCCGGCCUGAGAGGGCGCACGGACACACUGGAACUGAAACACGGUCCAGACUCCUACGGGAGGCAGCAGUGGGGAAUUUUGCGCAAUGGGGGAAACCCUGACGCAGCAACGCCGCGUGGAGGAUGAAGUCCCUUGGGACGUAAACUCCUUUCGAUCGGGACGAUUAUGACGGUACCGGAAGAAGAAGCCCCGGCUAACUUCGUGCCAGCAGCCGCGGUAAUACGAGGGGGGCAAGCGUUGUUCGGAAUUAUUGGGCGUAAAGGGAGUGUAGGCGGUUUGGUAAGUCUCGUGUGAAAUCUUCAGGCUCAACCUGAAGUCUGCACGAGAAACUGCCGGGCUUGAGUAUGGGAGAGGUGAGUGGAAUUCCUGGUGUAGCGGUGAAAUGCGUAGAUAUCAGGAGGAACACCUGUGGCGAAAGCGGCUCACUGGACCAUAACUGACGCUGAGACUCGAAAGCUAGGGGAGCAAACAGGAUUAGAUACCCUGGUAGUCCUAGCCCUAAACGAUGACUGCUUGAUGUGGCGGGUACCCAACCUGCCGUGUCGAAGCUAACGCGUUAAGCAUCCGCCUGGGGAAGUACGGUCGCAAGGCUGAAACUCAAAGGAAUUGACGGGGGCCCGCACAAGCGGUGGAGCAUGUGGUCUAAUUCGACGCAACGCGAAGAACCUUACCUAGGCUCGAAAUGUACAGGAAUCCGGUGGAAACAUCGGCGUCCCGCAAGGGAUCUGUAUAUAGGUGCUGCAUGGCCGUCGUCAGCUCGUGUCGUGAGAUGUUGGGUUAAGUCCCGCAACGAGCGCAACCCUUACCGCCAGUUGCCAUCAUUCAGUUGGGCACUCUGGUGGAACCGCCUCGGAUAACGGGGAGGACGGUGGGGAUGACGUCAUGUCCUCAUGGCCUUUAUGUCUAGGGCUACACACGUGCUACAAUGGCCGAUACAAACCGCCGCAAACCCGCGAGGGGGAGCUAAUCGGAAAAAGUCGGCCUCAGUUCGGAUCGCAGUCUGCAACUCGACUGCGUGAAGCUGGAAUCGCUAGUAAUCGCGGAUCAGAAUGCCGCGGUGAAUACGUUCCCGGGCCUUGUACACACCGCCC